Molecule: transfer RNA, 66 nt
Filed under: Statilia maculata
Lineage: Eukaryota; Metazoa; Arthropoda; Insecta; Mantodea; Mantidae
Also listed under: 1 other name
Description: tRNA-Asp
Source: RNAcentral
AAGAAAUUAGUUAAUUUAUAACAUUAGUAUGUCAUACUAAAAUUAUUAGAAUGCUAAUAUUUCUUU